UCUAUUAUGGCAGAUAAGUGCAAUGGAUUUAAGAUUCAUACAUAAAGUUAGUUACUUUUUUUAGAA
RNAcentral lists this transfer RNA (66 nucleotides) under Balta valida. RNAcentral's name for it is "tRNA-Leu". The record is from RNAcentral. Lineage: Eukaryota; Metazoa; Arthropoda; Insecta; Blattodea; Pseudophyllodromiidae.